CCUACGGGGCGCACCAGUGGGGAAUAUUGCACAAUGGGCGCAAGCCUGAUGCAGCCAUGCCGCGUGUGUGAAGAAGGUCUUCGGGUUGUAAAGCACUUUCAGCGGGGAGGAAGGCGUUAAGGUUAAUAACCUUGGCGAUUGACGUUACCCGCAGAAGUUGCACCGGCUAACUCCGUGCCAGCAGCCGAGGUAAUACGGAGGGUGCAAGCGUUAAUCGGAAUUACUGGGCGUAAAGCGCACGCAGGCGGUCUGUCGAGUCGGAUGUGAAAUCCCUGGGCUCAACCUGGGAACUGCAUUCGAAACUGGCAGGCUAGAGUCUUGUAGAGGGGGGUAGAAUUCCAGGUGUAGCGGUGAAAUGCGUAGAGAUCUGGAGGAAUACCGGUGGCGAAGGCGGCCCCCUGGACAAAGACUGACGCUCAGGUGCGAAAGCGUGGGGAGCAAACAGGAUUAGAUACCCUGGUAGUC
This 465-nucleotide ribosomal RNA is filed under the name uncultured bacterium. RNAcentral's name for it is "bacterial SSU rRNA". It matches the Rfam family "Bacterial small subunit ribosomal RNA", at positions 338 to 795 of the family's 1533-position model. The record is from RNAcentral.